CUAAGGAGCACUUCUCCACGAUGCGUCACACAGGUGAUUGUGGUCGUGGCAGAGGCCAUGUCGGACUCGAAUGUAGUCCGGUGGUUGCUCAUGGGUGGAACGCUGGCAUGUGCCUCGUGUAUCGGUUGGUCCUGUGUGGCCGGCCGGCGGGGAUGUAGUCGACACACUGUUGGGUCCUGAGAGAACACGCGAGUGACUCUCUAGGUAUGAGAUAACGACGAGGCUGGAUCUUCAGUCAUACCGCGGGGCUUUCUUCGGAGGUUUUCGGUCUGGUGCUGAGUCAGGGUUUGGUCUUGCGUGUUGUUUGAGAACUGCACAGUGGACGCGAGCAUCUUUGUUUGUAAGUGUUUAAGAGCGUUC
Molecule: unclassified non-coding RNA, 360 nt
Filed under: Nocardia farcinica
Lineage: Bacteria; Bacillati; Actinomycetota; Actinomycetes; Mycobacteriales; Nocardiaceae
Description: 16S-23S ribosomal RNA intergenic spacer
Source: RNAcentral